This 247-nucleotide unclassified non-coding RNA is filed under the name air metagenome. RNAcentral describes it as "partial contains small subunit ribosomal RNA, internal transcribed spacer 1, and 5.8S ribosomal RNA". The stretch from base 1 to 46 matches the Rfam family "Eukaryotic small subunit ribosomal RNA", at positions 1786 to 1831 of the family's 1831-position model. The record is from RNAcentral.
AAGUCGUAACAAGGUUUCCGUAGGUGAACCUGCGGAAGGAUCAUUAUUGAAUCCAAAGGAUGUUGCUGGCCUCUCGGGGCAUGUGCACUCCAACUAUUUCAAUUCACCUGUGAACUUAUUGUAGGCCUGAUGUUACAGUCAGUGUCUAUGUUAUUAUACACUCUUUAUAAAAUAUAGAAUGUCUAAUGUAAGGCCUUUAAUGGUCAAAAACAUAAUACAACUUUCAACAAUGGAUCUCUUGGUUCUC